CAGCUUUUGGAAUGAAGAGUACACGCGUUUAGAGUUUCAGAGUCCUCGAUGGCAAGACAGAGGCAUGAGCGGAGAGCCGAGGCUCACCUCUUAGACCCUGAGCAUGAAACGAAGAACACACUAGGAAUGCGUGAGGCUUGGAAAACUCCAACCCCAUCCCCUGAAACAUUCAGAUCAAGCAGUCAUGCAUCUGGCCCUGUGGAGGCCAUUCUUUGCUCAGACCUCCACAGGUCUGAGGUUUUCUUUUGUUUUUAGACCUUUAUUAACAGGCAGUUGCAGUGUGUUGAUGCUUUUUGGGAAGAAAAUUCAAGCCGUAAAGUUUUAUUAUAAACCAAAAAUGAAGCUCUUAAGAAUCUCAACUUGAGCAGAUAUGAAGCGAUUUAAAAACUCCUGAAAGAAAAAAAAAGCAGGCUUUAAAAAAUAACACAUUUGUCAUUUCCAAAAAGAGACAUCUUUAGGCAAUAUAACAACAACGACGACGACGACGAUGACAACAAUAACAACAACAACCAAAAAACAAAAAAACAAAAAAAACAACCCAUACUGCAUAGGUAACUCAUAGAGCCCUUUUGUAUCUGGACAAUGGGCAAAAAUCAAGUUCCCAAGGCUUCCGCUUCAGUCUCCAUUCAUUUCUUAUUUCUGGAGGAAACCCUUAUUCAUUUCUCCUGGUGGCGUGACCAAGGCGGACUGGUAGAGAUGGUAAACCGACAUUUACUCAGCCUUGGGAGGACACUCUUAGCUGCCGGAUUGGCUGCUUUUGUCUCUUUGCUAUCUUAUGAUUCAGGGAUCUUGGGGUUUCUUCGUCAGUAACCAAAUCGUCACCGACGCUGAGGUGACUUCGACCUUGGGUCUCUUCUCCUUGAUUUUCAGCGUCCUCUUCGGUUGCUGUCCUCUCUAGGCUGUCUUUGGCAAGGAAGAACCCUGCAAAAAUCAUGAAGUAGCAGAUAAGCCCAUUUGAGUUCCUGGCAGAUCCAUGAAGCCCUUCAGCCACUGGAGCCCCUGAGGACAGCCUUACAGAGGGACCAGCACUCACAGAGCAGCACCCUCCUAACGGCCGGCCGACCUAGAGGAGGAGGCCCAUGUAGAAGACAAUGACAAGGAAGUUUCUAGCCAAGCACCCCAGUGGGGGAUAUGCAAGGCUUUUGGAAACUAAGUGCAGAGAAUGUCUCCAAAACGACCAGAGACAGGAUCGUAUACCCCUUUUUCUACUGAAGCGUGCUAUCAUAACGGCUAAUUCUCAAGUGCGUGCCCAGCCACUCUUGUGGGCAGCUAUUCGAAAGCCCCUCCAUUUUAUUUUCUCCCUGUUAGUUGCGACUCCCUGUUGCCUGUCAUGUACAGUGACAUUCCAACAAUGGGAGAGAACCAGUCCCCUGUCAACUCUACCCUGGUACUUCCAUUUCUUAAGUCACUCAACCUGGCCCCAGGGCAUGCUGGGAGUUUGUCUAACAGAAAAUGUAUGCCCAGAGGACUUCGUCCUACUGGCUCAGGAGGUUCCUGGGAACUUCUCCAAUUGGGUCGAGGCUCAUCGAGUAGGGGGUGGCCAGUAUGCUUUGCCUCCACCACUCUCCAAAGGGGAACCCCAACGGACACUUAUCAACAGGUUUAUGUCAGGGAUAAAUGGGACCUUUCCCAUCCUUUGAAAUGUCAAGGCUCAACAGUUGCACACCAAGGCGCUCCACUUGGAAGUCCUUAGCCUUGAAAUAAAAACAGAAGGGGGACCUGUGAGGAUGUGGAAGUCAACCUUGUGGAGGAAAAUUGGGAUGGAGAACGAGGUACCACAGGUUCCUGCAACUCCUCAAAGAGUCCAGAUCUGCCACACACAGUAUUAUAUCUAAAAUGGCUCCCAGUGCAGCGGCGAAAGAGCAAAAAGGAACUGAGGCCCCGGGCCAAUUCCUCCAUCGUCCUGGAAGUCCACACAGGUGGUAAUAAUCUCUCCUACUCAUUCUGAGUACCUCAUUAGGCAGGCUUUCAUUGAAGCAUGGUGACAGUGUGAGCAGGAUAUGAUUGGACGAGGAUUUAGAGGCUUGGGAUUGGCUCAAACUAUAAGCUUUUGGGCGGGGCAAUAAACUCUGCUGGUCUCUGGAGCCGGUUUCCCGGGACUCGACAUGCUA
Molecule: non-coding RNA, 2111 nt
Organism: Rattus norvegicus (Norway rat)
Lineage: Eukaryota; Metazoa; Chordata; Mammalia; Rodentia; Muridae
Source: RefSeq, a predicted model, not a curated record